Molecule: ribosomal RNA, 399 nt
Filed under: uncultured bacterium
Lineage: Bacteria
Description: bacterial SSU rRNA
Rfam family: Bacterial small subunit ribosomal RNA
Source: RNAcentral
GAUGAACGCUAGCGACAGGCUUAACACAUGCAAGUCGAGGGGCAUCGGGGUUGUAGCUUGCUAUAACUGCCGGCGACCGGCGCACGGGUGAGUAACACGUAUGCAACCUGCCCGUUGCAGGGGGAUAAGCGGAAGAAAUUCCGUCUAAUACCGCGUAAUAUGGGCGAUAGGCAUCUAUCAUUCAUUAAAGAUUUAUCGGCAACGGAUGGGCAUGCGGUGCAUUAGCUAGUUGGUGAGGUAACGGCCCACCAAGGCGACGAUCAGUAGCCGGACUGAGAGGUUGACCGGCCACAUUGGGACUGAGAUACGGCCCAGACUCCUACGGGAGGCAGCAGUGGGGAAUAUUGGGCAAUGGGCGAAAGCCUGACCCAGCAAUGCCGCGUGAAGGAAGAAGGCCUC